GUAAGGGAAAGGAGAGGAGAUAUGUAACCCUAAGGGGAACAUUAAAUACAUACUACUACCACUACUACAAAGGGUUAAACGUUCCAAUAAUCGUCAAUCACUAAGUUUGGCACCAGUGUAAGUAAGUACUUGGAUACGCAGGCAACGUCUCAAUACUUGGAUAAUUGCAUUCCGGUAAAAACCGUUUCGUGAGAAUUCAAUUCGAGAGAAACUCGCCGCUACCGCGCGCUGCUGUCUGCUCAAGUAACCCCAAACAGGUGGUGUUCCAGAAAGAAACGAGGGGCUGUGAAAACAACUGCGGCAGAUGUGGACUCUUGGCACGCGCCCUUCUGUUCAUCAGUGGUGCUCAUUCCUCCGCAGGAGCCACGAACUACGUUUACUUCGAGGGAUUUCUUAAACGACCCUUGGUAUCGAAACGCGCAUGCGCCAUCAGUUUCUGGACCGCGAGCGUAGAAUUUAGAUAAGCAGCCAGCCAAUGGGG
Molecule: long non-coding RNA, 481 nt
Organism: Colletes gigas
Lineage: Eukaryota; Metazoa; Arthropoda; Insecta; Hymenoptera; Colletidae
Exons: 4
Source: RefSeq, a predicted model, not a curated record